Long non-coding RNA from Drosophila obscura, 1005 nucleotides. RefSeq lists it as uncharacterized. Lineage: Eukaryota; Metazoa; Arthropoda; Insecta; Diptera; Drosophilidae. The record is from RefSeq and is a predicted model, not a curated record. The transcript is spliced from 4 exons.
CUCAAAAUUAUUUUGAAGACCAAAAAUUUGUUUUUGUGUUGCAUGCUCAAACAUGAUUAGUAUUUAGUGUGGAAUAUUUUUGUAUGCACUAUCCGUCAAUCGGAGCUAAAACAGCUAGUAACGAACACGAUAAAACCAAAAAUGUAUCUAAGUACACAUAUUAUUUCCACAACCCCAAAGGACCUGGUUUCAAACGCUUCAAACUAUUUGUUACCCCACUGCACAGGUGCGAGCAUUAUACUUACUCGUACAUACAUACCUAUGUGAGUAUGUAUGUAAUGUUGCGAUUCCUACUGGAAGAGGUUUCUGUACAAGAAGAUGUCUUCGCUAUAUUCAAAUUCGAUGUAAUUGGGCAGCACUUUAGGAAUAUGGGCCUCAUUAAUAUGCUUGCGCAGCAAACAACUAAAGAGGGAACGAAACACCUGAUUCACGCUUGAAUGAUUUCCUUUAAAGGAAGCUGCGAGUGAACCAGAACCAGGCCUCACUAUCGAAGGAGCGGGUGGUAUGAGAGCGUCGCGAUUGCCAGAUGUUAAGGCUUUAAUACCCAUGUACGGCUCCUAAAACUGAUGUUACAUAUGUUACAUAUUAAGUACAUAUAUUAAAUAUGGCCAAAUAUUAAGCAUGGACUUCGACUGGCGUCGAAGAUCUGACCAUAUAUAAAGUGAUCUGUAUUUUGCCGAGCCUGAAUCCAUUUUUACGAUAAUUUGGAAAAAAGAACAAAAGAUAUGGUUUCUUAGAAUCCUUCAAUAUCUUGCAUAUUUAAGAUGGAAAGAUGUAAAUGUAUGAAAUUUGUAUGUAAGCCAACUGCUUCAUUAGGUCCAUAAAGCGAGUUCGUUGGACAUUAAUGUAUCCGAUGGAAAUUUUCAUAAACAUUGCGUUCGCUCUUCCAUUAAGCAAUUAAAUAAAUGAAAAUAAUUUGCGCUAACUCAGGAUCUCUCGCCAGCACCGGCUAAUGAAAAAAUAUUGCUUGAAAAGCAAGCUGGAGAUGAGUGCGAUACAUCAGAU